This 235-nucleotide ribosomal RNA is filed under the name uncultured soil bacterium. RNAcentral describes it as "partial 16S ribosomal RNA". It matches the Rfam family "Bacterial small subunit ribosomal RNA", at positions 26 to 257 of the family's 1533-position model. The record is from RNAcentral.
AGAGUGAACGCUGGCGGCAGGCCUAACACAUGCAAGUCGAACGGCAGCACAGCAGAGCUUGCUCUGUGGGUGGCGAGUGGCGGACGGGUGAGGAAUACGUCGGAAUCUGCCUUUUUGUGGGGGAUAACGUAGGGAAACUUACGCUAAUACCGCAUACGACCUGCGGGUGAAAGCGGAGGACCUUCGGGCUUCGCGCAGAAAGAUGAGCCGACGUCGGAUUAGCUAGUUGGAGGGG